This is a long non-coding RNA of Paramormyrops kingsleyae, 668 nucleotides long. RefSeq lists it as uncharacterized. NCBI's taxonomy places the organism in Eukaryota, Metazoa, Chordata, Actinopteri, Osteoglossiformes, Mormyridae. The record is from RefSeq and is a predicted model, not a curated record.
GUCUGAUGCUGGGGCUUUGCUGCUUUAAUUAUAGCCGAAACGAGCUUAAUCCCGCUUCAAACGCAGCUGUGGUUUCAGCGUCCUGUGUGGCGAGUCUGCAGGGGUAUUUAAACCGAUUCUGCCAGGGCAUGGUGCCACGGCGCCGGCUAUGAGCGCAGCGGGGGCGCGGGGAUAAAAAGGGGCACCGCAAAAAAGCGACGCGGGCCCCGCAAAGGAGGCGAGCGGCCUUUCCUCCCCCUUCGCAUCCCUAUUCAGCUGCAGUGACCGUGAUUCAUCUGACACAAGGAGGGGACCUGCCCACCCCUGCCGCCUGAUAGGCACUAUUUUGAGGACAUGGACGAGUUUCUGCUGUCUGCUGCGUGGCGGCCCUCUUAAACUGGAAGAGCUGUCAGGAUGAAUUAGGACCAAGGCCGUAACACCCAACGCCUGAGAAGGCAAUGUUCACAUCCCGAGUAGCACGUUCGCCCCCCACACGGCCGAAACAACGCACAGUCAAUCCUGCGGAAGAGUAAGAACACACAUUUAAAUCCGCCCGACAGACAACACUACAGUGUCGGAACCAGGCAGCGGCUCGGUGGGACGAGGUUCAUAGCAUCUGCGAGGCUGAAUCACACCUCCCUCUGUCGGUGAGGUGGGGCUUCGUCCUGCAGAAAGCACCGUCUUUGGAC